This 253-nucleotide ribosomal RNA is filed under the name uncultured bacterium. RNAcentral describes it as "partial 16S ribosomal RNA". It matches the Rfam family "Bacterial small subunit ribosomal RNA", at positions 524 to 776 of the family's 1533-position model. The record is from RNAcentral.
UCCGAAGGGGCCUAACGUUGUUCGGAAUCACUGGGCGUAAAGCACACGCAGGCGGAUCGAUAAGUCGGGGGUGAAAGCACGGGGCUCAACCUCGGAAUUGCCUUCGAUACUGUCGGUCUCGAGUCCGGGAGAGGUGAGUGGAAUUCCUAGUGUAGAGGUGAAAUUCGUAGAUAUUAGGAAGAACACCAGUGGCGAAGGCGGCUCACUGGCCCGGUACUGACGCUCAGGUGCGAAAGCGUGGGGAGCAAACAGG